UCUACCUCCGGAACUCAAGCAUUUGUACCGUCAUUGGGACACUGCCAUUCCACAUGUCCCUGUGACCAAGUUGAAAACAAUAUCAUGGAAUGAUCUUGGGCCUAUGGCAAAAGCAUGGGCCACUAUGGACGAAUCACAGCUACAGGAAAAUGGUGUUGUCAAAUAUCCAACAACUGACCACCUAAAAGCAUGGCCGCGUCAUUUCCUGGAGAAUGAGUCCCAAGAUUUAACCAUAGUGAAUGACUACGACCCAGAUACACCUCAUGACUGUUUUGAACAGAUGAAAAUGGAAACAACACAUCUACCAACUGUACAUGAAGACCCAUUGGUAGAUCCCGAUCUCACCCUGUUUGUGGGCGGCUCAAGAUAUGCUGAUGAAGAAGGAAGAUACCAUACAGGAUAUGCCGUAACCACAACAGAUGAAAUUGUCAAAUCAUCAUCUUUACCAUCAACUAUGUCUGCACAAGAAGCUGAAUUGCAAGCCCUGACUUCAGCAUGCAAGAUCUCUGAAGGAAAGCGCGCCAAUAUCUACACGGAUUCAAGAUAUGCACUGGGC
This is a non-coding RNA of Pelobates cultripes (western spadefoot toad), 556 nucleotides long. NCBI's taxonomy places the organism in Eukaryota, Metazoa, Chordata, Amphibia, Anura, Pelobatidae. The record is from the annotation of a GenBank genome assembly.